RNAcentral lists this long non-coding RNA (211 nucleotides) under Ananas comosus (pineapple). Its description in RNAcentral is "long non-coding RNA (ACOM_LNC043676)". The record is from RNAcentral. Lineage: Eukaryota; Viridiplantae; Streptophyta; Magnoliopsida; Poales; Bromeliaceae.
GCAUAUCGAUCAUACGAUGAUCAUGAAUGGUUCUUUGAUAUUUCAUUGCUUUUACUAAUGAAGGUCAUAGUAAAAGUCAUAUGGAUCUUAUAGAUCGCGAAAUUGAAUACUUUGAAGAAGUUCAAAGAGAAUUCAAAAAUAAAGUUAAGCACAAGAAAGGAUAUUAAUACUUAUCGAUUAGAUUGAGUAGGUUAUUGCCUUAGUAUUGAGC